Molecule: long non-coding RNA, 260 nt
Filed under: Brassica napus (rape)
Lineage: Eukaryota; Viridiplantae; Streptophyta; Magnoliopsida; Brassicales; Brassicaceae
Description: long non-coding RNA (BNAP_LNC004561)
Source: RNAcentral
CAUUUCUAAGUUUAUGUCACAAAAAUAGUAUUCAAAUGACCAAAAUAGUAUUUUAUCUUUUGAAAAAUUUAAUUUUUUUUUUUUUUUUCAAAAUUUGAAAUCUUAUCCCAAAACCCCACUCCCCAACUCUAAACCCUAAACCCUAAACUCUAAACCCUAAAUCCUAAACCAUAAACCCUAAAUCCUAAACCCCACCUCUUAACUAUAAACUCUAAACCCUAAACUCCACCCCUAAACUCUAAACCCUAAACCAUAAACUC